This is a long non-coding RNA of Musa acuminata AAA Group (dessert banana), 360 nucleotides long. RefSeq lists it as uncharacterized. NCBI's taxonomy places the organism in Eukaryota, Viridiplantae, Streptophyta, Magnoliopsida, Zingiberales, Musaceae. The transcript has 2 exons. The record is from RefSeq and is a predicted model, not a curated record.
CCUCUUGAACUCUGGCGAAGGUCUCUCUCGUAAGAUCUUUCAAGAUUUGUCGCGUCAAGAACAGCUAAAACAAAUGCCAUUGUGGAUGUUUUGCUUGUUUGUCUGUCAUCAUCAUCCUCAUCGGCACCAUUGGAUAACUUGGACAACUGGGGGGGCUAUCAUCUUCGACGAAGCUUCGCCAGCAUCACCUUAGUCAUCGUCAUCAGGAGCCUCUUAGCAUUGAUGAGCGCAAUGAUGGGAGCUUCUGAUGGCUGCUAGGUUUCAUUGGUGUUUGCUCAAAAGCUUUAGGGUCAACGUCCGGAGUGUCUGAAGCUUUUAGUAGUAGAUUUGUGAGUUUAAGAUUUUUAGUGUUUAUUGUCA